RNAcentral lists this ribosomal RNA (388 nucleotides) under Tropiocolotes scorteccii (Scorteccis dwarf gecko). RNAcentral's name for it is "partial 12S small subunit ribosomal RNA". It matches the Rfam family "Bacterial small subunit ribosomal RNA", at positions 796 to 1382 of the family's 1533-position model. Lineage: Eukaryota; Metazoa; Chordata; Lepidosauria; Squamata; Gekkonidae. The record is from RNAcentral.
CCAGCCGUAAAACUUGAUAGUUAAACCACAAACUAUUCGCCAGAGAACUACCAGCAAAAAGCUCAAAACUCAAAGGACUUGACAGCGUCCCAAAUCAACCUAGAGGAGCCUGUCCUAUAAUCGAUGACCCACGCUUCACCCAACCUGCCCUCGCACCAACAGCCUAUAUACCGCCGUCCCCAGCCCACCUAAUGAUAGACAACCAGUGGACAAAAUAGCCAACACUAGUACGUCAGGUCAAGGCGUAGCUAAUGGGCAGGCAGAGAUGGGCUACAUUUUCUAACCACCAGAAAAAACCCAACCGGACCAUGAAACCUGGCCGCAACAAGGCGGAUUUAGCAGUAAGCCCGGCAAGAACAAGCCAGCCUGAAGCCCCGCUCUGGGACGU